GGGGAGGAAAGCAGCAGCAGCAGCGAGGCGGAAUCGGUGGCAU
RNAcentral lists this non-coding RNA (43 nucleotides) under Hemiselmis tepida. Lineage: Eukaryota; Cryptophyceae; Cryptomonadales; Hemiselmidaceae. The record is from RNAcentral.